This 502-nucleotide ribosomal RNA is filed under the name Emydocephalus annulatus (turtle-headed seasnake). Its description in RNAcentral is "partial 16S ribosomal RNA". It matches the Rfam family "Bacterial large subunit ribosomal RNA", at positions 1833 to 2597 of the family's 2925-position model. The record is from RNAcentral. Lineage: Eukaryota; Metazoa; Chordata; Lepidosauria; Squamata; Elapidae.
GCUAAACCAGUAUUAAAGGCAACGCCUGCCCAGUGAAUAGUUUAACGGCCGCGGUACCCUAACCGUGCAAAGGUAGCGUAAUCACUUGUCUAUUAAUUGUAGACCCGUAUGAAAGGCAUAAUGAGGGCCUAACUGUCUCUUUUAGUAAAUCAAUUAAACUGAUCUCCUAGUCCAAAAGCUAGGAUACCAACAUAAGACCAGAAGACCCUGUGAAACUUUAACUAAACUAUUAAACCCCAUAAUAACUCCUUUAGGUUGGGGCGACCUUGGAAAAAAAAAGAACUUCCAAAUAACAUAUUAAAUAAUAAUAUAGUACCAGGCCAACAAGCCUACCUACGACCCAGCACAGCUGAUAACUGAACCAAGCUACUCCAGGGAUAACAGCGCUAUCUUCUUCAAGAGCCCAUAUCAAAAAGAAGGUUUACGACCUCGAUGUUGGAUCAGGACAUCCUAACGGUGCAACCGCUAUUAAGGGUUCGUUUGUUCAACGAUUAACAGUCCU